Gasterosteus aculeatus aculeatus (three-spined stickleback) is the source of this 300-nucleotide long non-coding RNA. The record is from Ensembl. NCBI's taxonomy places the organism in Eukaryota, Metazoa, Chordata, Actinopteri, Perciformes, Gasterosteidae.
UCUAACCAUCCCCGGUAGAUUUGUAAUAAGCAAUGAGAUUGUGAAACGAUGGUUAACCUUCCUGCAGCGGCACCUGGUCUGUGAUGUCCUGGAAAGUUUAUCACUUCCGCUCACAAAUCACGAUGCUCUGGAUGUUGCAAGUAGGAAAUAUGGAGGUCUUGUUCUUCACUGAAAGCAGAGCAAACAAAUGGAUGCAUCUCCAGCCAACGUGGCACCAAAGCUGAUCGCCUUUUAGAGCAGCAUACUACUUGUGUCGGACCUUAUUUACAACCAUUUGCAUUUUAAUUUAUUUAUUUUGCU